Molecule: transfer RNA, 72 nt
Filed under: Podarcis lilfordi (Lilford's wall lizard)
Lineage: Eukaryota; Metazoa; Chordata; Lepidosauria; Squamata; Lacertidae
Description: tRNA.Ile
Rfam family: tRNA (bases 5-63)
About the family: Transfer RNA (tRNA) molecules are approximately 80 nucleotides in length. Their secondary structure includes four short double-helical elements and three loops (D, anti-codon, and T loops).
Source: RNAcentral
UGGAUAGCUCAGUUGGUUAGAGUGUGGUACUGAUAAUGCCUAGGUUGCAGGUUCGAUCCCUGAAUGGGACAU